This is a long non-coding RNA of Brienomyrus brachyistius, 2742 nucleotides long. RefSeq lists it as uncharacterized. The transcript is spliced from 3 exons. The record is from RefSeq and is a predicted model, not a curated record. NCBI's taxonomy places the organism in Eukaryota, Metazoa, Chordata, Actinopteri, Osteoglossiformes, Mormyridae.
GUCGGUGCGCUUUCAAGCAUCUGAUUCGCCAUUAGACGCCCGAAUCCAUGAUUCUGGAGUAGCUCGUUUUGACAAAGUACUUCACAAGUUCUAAUAUUUCACAUUGUUUUUGAAAGAAAAAACAAAGUAAAAUCUGUUGUAGACAGGGACGUCGCUGGGAUUAUUUUAGGGGAGCUAUCCCUCUAAAAUGUUUUACGGUCAAUAAGGAUUGUGUUCCGAGAUGACCUCAUCAUGUCACGGAUCUAAGUGCUGGAAUUCCAACAUGGCGUUUCAGGCAGAUUACAGAAGAGUGGAUUCUGUGGUAAAAGUUAUUCCCUUUGGCAUGUAUUUUGGGUCUUAAGAUUUGAAAGACCGUCACAUAAAUUAAAACUGUAUAACGCACUGAAGGAAAGGGAAAACUGGAAAAGAAUAACAGGAUCUCUUUAAACUGUGGAUUAUUUAACCUGGAAUAAUGGUAAAUAAAUGCCAUCAUACAUACAUCCCUAACAGCCUAAAUGUAAAAAAAGUGGAGAAUAUUCAGACCGUAAUUGCCGAUUUAAAAAAAAAAAAGUUCUGAAGUUUUAAAAACUCAUGCAGCGUGUUCUGGUGAUAGCUUGACCAGGCUUUGACAAAAGCUGGAAAGCGGAAAUUAAAACGGGGAAAAAAAUAAGCUCUUCACUGGAUCCCACUGGGAAGUUUGCAAAAAAAAAAGUCAAGCGACAUACUAAGCAAAACAAAGUUUUUAUUUUAAAGUUGCAGGAAACUUCUUUUCAGCGGUUUGCACAAAGGGAAGUAAAAUAAAUCUCCUCGCCUGCUCCCUCUCACCGCUCUGCCAGUGGGUAAAACCAAACAAAGGUCGGGGAACGGACUCUCCGCAGCGAACCCGAGUCCGAAAAACUGGGCACCCUUUUCAAUCCGGCCCUCGCUGUUCGCCUCUCAUGCUGCGCUACCACCUGCUUCCACCGGACAUCUUUUCUUUCCUGCCCCUGGGCGGCUGCUGAGGUGUUAAGAGAAGAAAAAACAGCCGUCCCUGGGCGAGGCCUCAAUGGCAGUGCGGUAGCCAGGUGUGACUAGCUGCCCCUUGGCGUCCACGGGCGUGCGUGGCCCCCGCCGCUCGCCAGACUGCCAGGCGCAAUCACGUGCUCAGUGAAAGGUCGCUGCUGCCGGUUCGGUAUGGUGUCUACCCCGCUCACGUCUGGCCCGAAGCUGCAGGGGGCAGCCCUGUAGGACUUGGUGGAGGUGGCGUCCAAUGGCGGGCGCUCUCAGGACUACUUGAGGGCUGCUCUGUGGAGGAAUCCACCAGCACGUGGUGGAGAUACCACGCAGCUGCCCGUCCCUGUUUCCCGGAGCCCCGUGACAUUGACAUCCCGAGCAGGCGGCCUCACGGAGGCUGAGGCAGGAGACCUGGAGACCACUGUAUCUGUACGGUUUAAUGGGUACACCUGCUUGUUAACGCAAAAACAGCCUGCUCUUCCAAACAGGGUCCAGAGGUUCAGAAUCACAUGGCUGCAACUGAAUACAUGCAAAACAGACACAGGGUCAAGAGUGUGGUCGUCGGUGCCAGACACGGUAGUUCCAGUAUCUCAGACAUGACCGACCUCCCUGGCAUUUUCACACGUCGCUGUGUUGAGAGUUUACAGGGGAUGGUGCGAUAAACAUAAAAACACCCAGUCAGCAGCAGUUCUGUGGGUGAAACUGCCUCGUUAAUGAAGGAGGUCAGAGAAGAAUGGCCAGACUCGUUAAAGCGAACAGGAAGGCCACAAGUGCAAAAAUACACCAGCUUGGUACCACAGCGGUGAGGAGAACGGCUUCUGUGAACAUGCAGUUUGUCUCUUUUAAAGUGAUUCUGGAUGCAAAAUGGGUACCUGCUAGGUACCAAAUAAAGUGUGUUCUACCCAAUACUAUCUAGGUGUAACAAAUUGGGUCCCACCUGGUACAAGAGUCACCCUCCCCAUCAGUUGACAACUAUUACAAACUAUGUAAGCAUUUGUUGUUGACUUAAUGACCAAAAAAUGUGGAUCGUGUGGCUAAAUCAUAUUUAGCUAGAUAGUUGGAAGCUGGAUUUUCCUUUUACCUCCUCUUCUCAGGAAGGUUUAAGAAAUAUAAAAAAGAUGUAAAAAAAUAUAUAUAUUCUCAGAAUUGUAGCUGAGCUUUGAGGGAUGAUAAGGGCACCAGCCACAUCAGAGGCUAACAUCACACGCGGCUCAGCCCUGUCUGUAUUCAGCCCUGCCUGGUACUCGAGGGCUUUCAUGUUGUGGUAUUUUCUCCAUUAUGUGUUAUGAUUUAUGUUGAUAUUAUGCUAUCAGGUAUGUGAUUUGCAUUAUUGAAAGAUAAUUAGAAUAUCACAAUAGAGGCUUUACUGUUGGCUAAUUCUAUGUUAGGUGUAUUUUAUGAUCUUAAUACAUCUGGCACUGUAAUGUCACGCCUGCCUGGUGCCUUAGCCUGGAUUUAAUAUCUGAGAGGUGAUACCAUUGUAGUAGGGAGGUUCUGCAAGGGCUGAUCCCAGAUUAUAUACCUUUUGCUUAGAUGGCAAGUCAAUUAUAUAUGGGAAUUGCCCCUUAGCUGUAAAAAGGGCCUUUCUGUUCUUCUAAGGCGCAUUUAGCAUCAAAAAAGAGUACUUUUUAAACUGUAUAUGAGUGCAUGACUGGCGGGAUCUAGGUGUUUAUGAUCUCUGCAUCUUACUGUAACUGUCACCGCGAUGUUACUGUGUUCACCAAGAUUCAUGACCUUUCAGUCAUUUCACCGCUUGUCCUGCUGAAGGGU